This 252-nucleotide ribosomal RNA is filed under the name uncultured bacterium. RNAcentral describes it as "partial 16S ribosomal RNA". It matches the Rfam family "Bacterial small subunit ribosomal RNA", at positions 100 to 354 of the family's 1533-position model. The record is from RNAcentral.
CGGGGUGAGUAACGCGUGAGGAACCUGCCUCAGANAGGGGGAUAACACACCGAAAGGUGUGCUAAUACCGCAUAACAUAUGANAGGGGCAUCCCUUUCAUAUCAAAGAUUUAUUGCUCUGAGAUGGCCUCGCGUCCAAUUAGCUAGUUGGUGAGGUAACGGCCCACCAAGGCGACGAUUGGUAGCCGGACUGAGAGGUUGAACGGCCACAUUGGGACUGAGACACGGCCUAGACUCCUACGGGAGGCAGCAG